UCGCCUGCACGAAGUCGGAAUUGCUAGUAAUCGUAGGUCAGCAUACUACGGUGAAUACGUUCCCGGGCCUUGUACACACCGCCCGUCAAACCAUGAGAGUUGGCAACACCCGAAGUCGGUAGUCUAACCGCAAGGAGGACGCCGCCGAAGGUGGGGUCGAUGAUUAGGGUUAAGUCGUAACAAGGUACC
This 189-nucleotide ribosomal RNA is filed under the name uncultured bacterium. RNAcentral describes it as "partial 16S ribosomal RNA". It matches the Rfam family "Bacterial small subunit ribosomal RNA", at positions 1312 to 1500 of the family's 1533-position model. The record is from RNAcentral.